Molecule: ribosomal RNA, 254 nt
Filed under: uncultured bacterium
Lineage: Bacteria
Description: partial 16S ribosomal RNA
Rfam family: Bacterial small subunit ribosomal RNA
Source: RNAcentral
GACGUAGGGCGCGAGCGUUGUCCGGAAUCACUGGGCGUAAAGGGCGCGUAGGUGGUGGCUUAAGCGUGCGGUGAAAGCUCGGGGCUCAACUCCGAGUCGGCCGUGCGAACUGGGCUCACUGGAGCAUAGUAGAGGCAGGUGGAAUUCCGGGUGUAGCGGUGGAAUGCGCAGAUAUCAGGAGGAACACCGGUGGCGAAGGCGGGUCUCUGGGCCGAUACUGACGCUGAGGAGCGAAAGCGUGGGGAGCGAACAGG